ACCGACACAAGAGUCCAAAAGGGGAAAAAUAUGGUUCACAAUAGCUUCAAUCUCCUAGAUUUCAAAGCAUUAACUAACCAAAGACAACCGCAUUCGAAAAUACAAUGAGGAAAAUGCAUAGAGGAUGCUGAUUUCAUACAUAGCGCAAGCAAGAAGCAGUUCCAGGAAAGUCCGCCAACACCACCAUCUUAUCAGCCUCCCUUGCACCUUCAAGACCUCAACAGGAUCUUCCCACACUUGUACAUUUUUAUUUUACGUUAAAACUCUACUAUGACGAUGCUUGGAUGUGAGAUGAGUUUCUAUGAGGCAAAAGAGAGUUAGAGUUUAGUCAUGACUGCAUUAAAAUGAGACGUGGCUAGGGUUCUGAAAUAUUACUUUGAACUUGGUUGGUCGCUACUUCAGUUCUUGCAUCAUUCAAAAUGGCUCCGGUUUAACUGUAGAUAUUAUUUGUAUUAUUCGAGUUCUACCGUUGGAUUUAAGAAAAU
This 485-nucleotide long non-coding RNA is filed under the name Ricinus communis (castor bean). RNAcentral describes it as "long non-coding RNA (RCOM_LNC001759)". The record is from RNAcentral. Lineage: Eukaryota; Viridiplantae; Streptophyta; Magnoliopsida; Malpighiales; Euphorbiaceae.